Molecule: long non-coding RNA, 390 nt
Organism: Oreochromis aureus
Lineage: Eukaryota; Metazoa; Chordata; Actinopteri; Cichliformes; Cichlidae
Source: Ensembl
UCACGCAGCUACUCACCUAUCCGCAAAAGAAGAAGAGAUUCGCCCAGCUUCAUGGAGGCUCGCAGGAUCACCAGUCCUUAAAGGUCCCGACACCAGGACAACGGGCUACUGCUGAACCCAAUUGCUGCCGGCUAGUCACCCCGGUAACAGUUGCCGUGCAGCAGGACCCUGAUACCGUGACUGAAGUUUGGCUGAGCAGCAACUCAUCAGAGCUCCCAUGAGUAAACUGGGCUUCCUCCUCUGUCCUUUCUCUGCUUCUUCAUCUCAUUCCUGAAACUCACUCCGGCUCUAGAGCCGCACCCUGCUGUAUUUCUGCACUACUGUUGUAACACAAAGGAUGCAGAGAUUAAAGCGCUAUCAAGGUUUAUUAGAGUGGAAGCCCCCCUCUUU